CCUACGGGUGGCAGCAGUGAGGAAUAUUGGUCAAUGGACGAGAGUCUGAACCAGCCAAGUAGCGUGAAGGAUGACUGCCCUAUGGGUUGUAAACUUCUUUUAUAUGGGAAUAAAAUGUUCCACGUGUGGGAUUUUGUAUGUACCAUAUGAAUAAGGAUCGGCUAACUCCGUGCCAGCAGCCGCGGUAAUACGGAGGAUCCGUGCGUUAUCCGGAUUUAUUGGGUUUAAAGGGAGCGUAGGUGGAUUGUUAAGUCAGUUGUGAAAGUUUGCGGCUCAACCGUAAAAUUGCAGUUGAAACUGGCAGUCUUGAGUACAGUAGAGGUGGGCGGAAUUCGUGGUGUAGCGGUGAAAUGCUUAGAUAUCACGAAGAACUCCGAUUGCGAAGGCAGUUCACUGGACUGCAACUGACACUGAGGCUCGAAAGUGUGGGUAUCAAACAGGAGUAGAUACCCGGGUAGUC
RNAcentral lists this ribosomal RNA (460 nucleotides) under uncultured bacterium. Its description in RNAcentral is "partial 16S ribosomal RNA". It matches the Rfam family "Bacterial small subunit ribosomal RNA", at positions 338 to 795 of the family's 1533-position model. The record is from RNAcentral.